UGAGGAAUAUUAGUCAAUGGGCGCAAGCCUGAACCAGCCAUCCCGCGUGAAGGAUGAAGGCCCUAUGGGUCGUAAACUUCUUUUAUACACCAAGAAAAAGCAGGACGUGUCCUGCCCCGACGGUAGUGUAUGAAUAAGCGUCGGCUAACUCCGUGCCAGCAGCCGCGGUAAUACGGAGGAUCCGAGCGUUAUCCGGAUUCAUUGGGUUUAAAGGGUGCGUAGGCGGCUCUUUAAGUCAGUGGCGAAAUCUUGCCGCUUAACGAUAAAAUUGCCAUUGAUACUGAUAAGCUUAAGUACAAUUGAGGUAAGCGGAAUGAAUAGUGUAGCGGUGAGAUGCUUAGAUAGUACACAGAACACCGAUUGCGAAGGCAGCUUGCUAAACGGUCACUGACGCUGAUGCACGAAAGCGUGGGGAGCGAGCA
Molecule: ribosomal RNA, 422 nt
Filed under: uncultured bacterium
Lineage: Bacteria
Description: bacterial SSU rRNA
Rfam family: Bacterial small subunit ribosomal RNA
Source: RNAcentral